AUUGAACGCUGGCGGCAUGCCUUACACAUGCAAGUCGAACGGUAACGGGCCUUCGGGUGCCGCCGAGUGGCGCACGGGUGAGUAAUACAUCGGAACGUGCCCGAUCGUGGGGGAUAACGAGGCGAAAGCUUUGCUAAUACCGCAUACGAUCUACGGAUGAAAGCAGGGGACCGCAAGGCCUUGCGCGGACGGAGCGGCCGAUGGCAGAUUAGGUAGUUGGUGGGAUAAAAGCUUACCAAGCCGACGAUCUGUAGCUGGUCUGAGAGGAUGAUCAGCCACAGUGGACCUGGGACACGGCCCAAACCCCUACGGGGGGCCGGAGGGGGGAAUUUUGGAAAAGGGGCGAAAGCCUAUACCACCCAGGCCGGGGGAAGGAUGAAGGCCUUCGGGUUGUAAACUGUUUUUUUACGGAACAAAAAGCCUUCUUUUAAAACAGGAGGGUAAUGAGGGUACCGGAAGGAUAAGCACCGGCUAACUACGU
Molecule: ribosomal RNA, 481 nt
Filed under: uncultured bacterium
Lineage: Bacteria
Description: partial 16S ribosomal RNA
Rfam family: Bacterial small subunit ribosomal RNA
Source: RNAcentral